CAUGCAAGUCGAACGAUGAUCCGGUGCUUGCACCGGUGAUUAGUGGCGAACGGGUGAGUAACACGUGAGUAACCUGCCCUUGACUCUGGGAUAAGCCUGGGAAACUGGGUCUAAUACCGGAUAUGACCUUCCAUCGCAUGGUGGUUGGUGGAAAGCUUUUGUGGUUUAGGAUGGACUCGCGGCCUAUCAGCUUGUUGGUGAGGUAAUGGCUUACCAAGGCGACGACGGGUAGCCGGCCUGAGAGGGUGACCGGCCACACUGGGACUGAGACACGGCCCAGACUCCUACGGGAGGCAGCAGUGGGGAAUAUUGCACAAUGGGCGCAAGCCUGAUGCAGCGACGCCGCGUGAGGGAUGACGGCCUUCGGGUUGUAAACCUCUUUCAGUAGGGAAGAAGCGAAAGUGACGGUACCUGCAGAAGAAGCGCCGGCUAACUACGUGCCAGCAGCCGCGGUAAUACGUAGGGCGCAAGCGUUAUCCGGAAUUAUUGGGCGUAAAGUGCUCGUAGGCGGUUUGUCGCGUCUGCCGUGAAAGUCCGGGGCUCAACUCCGGAUCUGCGGUGGGUACGGGCAGACUAGAGUGAUGUAGGGGAGACUGGAAUUCCUGGUGUAGCGGUGAAAUGCGCAGAUAUCAGGAGGAACACCGAUGGCGAAGGCAGGUCUCUGGGCAUUAACUGACGCUGAGGAGC
RNAcentral lists this ribosomal RNA (687 nucleotides) under Arthrobacter sp. J12. RNAcentral describes it as "bacterial SSU rRNA". It matches the Rfam family "Bacterial small subunit ribosomal RNA", at positions 54 to 754 of the family's 1533-position model. Lineage: Bacteria; Bacillati; Actinomycetota; Actinomycetes; Micrococcales; Micrococcaceae. The record is from RNAcentral.